Ceratina calcarata is the source of this 1857-nucleotide long non-coding RNA. RefSeq lists it as uncharacterized. The transcript has 3 exons. The record is from RefSeq and is a predicted model, not a curated record. Lineage: Eukaryota; Metazoa; Arthropoda; Insecta; Hymenoptera; Apidae.
GUAGGGAUGACUUCGUAGCGUGGAGUGACGUCGCACGAUCCGACAUUCGCGCGGCGACGGUGACACGGUACAAAAGACUUGCACGCGGUUCUUCACAGAACAAGGUUACGUGUCGUCACGACCGUGGUAUCGCGCGGCCAGAGUAAUAAUCCGCAUCCAGUUCUCGCGGGUAGAUACACAGAACGAGAGGCGUGUUUCCCAGGCUGUGCAACUGUGCGGUGCUAUCCCCGUUUCUCCGUCUUCCGCAUUCCUCGCUUCGAUUCGGAGUAAAUCUGUCUUUCUCUCUCUCCCACGCAUUUCUCGUGCACGGCGACUCGUGCCAGAGCCGUGUGUAUCGACGGCCCCGCGAAGACGCUGCGGCCAGACGAGCAGUCGGAGAGCCAAACGAGCGGCGGCCGAAAUCAUCGUGGUUUCACUGAAGAUGAGCUAAAGCAGAACGUGGAUAAAAGUGAGACAGGUCAGGAGUAGCCAAGAGGCCGAGACAUCAUCGACGAGUUCUCUUAAGGUAUGCAGCGGGGAUCCAACGGUCGAUGACGUGAAUCGACCGACUUUUCGGUCGACAGCUGCUGGCGUGCAAAGGACGCUGGCUGAAUGGCCGGCCAAGUAUUUGACUGCGACUGCCGGAGGACCGUCUUGCAACGGUGGUACCGGAUGACCACCGUCUAAACUGUGUUUCCUCGGCGAAACUCACCGAACGAUAAUCUCGUCAAACGUCGGUCAGGUACCUAUUCGUCCGCUUUGAUUUCCACCGGGUUCUUGCUGACGGAUGUUGUUCGUGUACGGAUAAACUCAGCCGUCCGCAAAGUUUAUCGUUCGGACUGGUUAAUCACCCGGUUGUUCGAUCAGCAUCGCGUUCACCACGUCGUCGGUAUCCUACGAGACUCGCGAUAGAAGAGAGGCGAGAAGGAAGAGCUCAUUGGAACAACAUCUCGUCGAAGACCGUCGUUGGCCGACGUAAUCAAGAACGUAUCCAACGGAGGGGAAACACAAACAGAGAAGAAGAUCAUCGGCAGAGGGGAAGCUGGUUUACCCAUUUUAACAUCGAGUGCAAGUGGUUCACGAGGAGUAGGAGGAGCAGAGGUAUCCGCGAGGCGGAUGAGGUCGGGGUGGAUGGUGAACGCUGGUUCCACGCGCGUCGCCCUUGAUCGAGAGGAGGACAGCCACGUGCAGGAUCGUCCACGAUUAUCAAUAUCACGGGGAUCGCGUUGAUUUCCCCACCAACAGCGGCCACAUGACUUGACGAUCGCCCCACCUACCGCUGUUCGUCGUUGAACGAAGGCGGCGACAGUGGCAGCAACGUCACCGCGACGAGGGAACGACGACGACGACCGACGACGCCGGCAACGACGGCGACGUGGAAGGAAGAGAAGAGCACCAGAGAGUCGUCACGUCAGUCGGUGGUAGUAGUAGUAGUAGUAGUUGUAGUCAUUGGGCGGCAGUAGCGGAGGCUACUUAACGAGUGACACAGGCUGCCGGUGAUUCAGUUGGCGGCAGUCGAUCGGAGCAGGUAGGUAGAAGUGGUAGACGUGGUGGCUGUGCUGGUGCCGUUGUUGUCGUUGUUCUUGUUAUCUUCGUCGUCGCCUCGUACGUCGCGUCGUCGUCGGUAGCAGUGCUGGUUUUCGGUGGAUAGUGGAUAAUAGUGUCGCGUGUGAAACUGGAGCCGCUGGUGGGUACCAGUCGCAAUCGAGAGGCAGAGCUAUCAUGUGCCCGUUGAGAAUUUUCGGACUGGCCAUCGUCGCGCUGGUGACUUUCGUUGGACGAGUGGCAGCGUAUAGUAAUCAGUGGGCGAUACACGUCGAGGGAGGAUCGGACGUAGCCCAGCAGGUCGCGCGGGAACAUGGAUUCCAGUAUCUCGAU